GACAGAGGUGCCGAGCGUUAGGCGGAAUCACUGGGCUUAAAGCGUGUGUAGGCGGAUCGUUAAGUGUCUUGUGAAAUCCCACGGCUCAACCGUGGAAUGGCUGGGCAUACUGGCGAUCUUGAGCGGCCUAGGGGCAGAUGGAACAAGUGGUGGAGCGGUGAAAUGCGUAGAUAUCACGUGGAACGCCAAUGGUGAAAACACCUCGCUGGGGAAGUGCUGACGCUGAGACACGAAAGCCAGGGGAGCGAACGGG
RNAcentral lists this ribosomal RNA (253 nucleotides) under uncultured bacterium. Its description in RNAcentral is "partial 16S ribosomal RNA". It matches the Rfam family "Bacterial small subunit ribosomal RNA", at positions 524 to 776 of the family's 1533-position model. The record is from RNAcentral.